This 288-nucleotide unclassified non-coding RNA is filed under the name Talaromyces sp. RNAcentral describes it as "partial contains 5.8S ribosomal RNA, internal transcribed spacer 2, and large subunit ribosomal RNA". The stretch from base 1 to 71 matches the Rfam family "5.8S ribosomal RNA", at positions 84 to 154 of the family's 154-position model. The record is from RNAcentral. Lineage: Eukaryota; Fungi; Ascomycota; Eurotiomycetes; Eurotiales; Trichocomaceae.
GUGAAUCAUCGAAUCUUUGAACGCACAUUGCGCCCCCUGGCAUUCCGGGGGGCAUGCCUGUCCGAGCGUCAUUUCUGCCCUCAAGCACGGCUUGUGUGUUGGGUGCGGUCCCCCCGGGGACCUGCCCGAAAGGCAGCGGCGACGUCCGUCUGGUCCUCGAGCGUAUGGGGCUUUGUCACUCGCUCGGGAAGGACCUGCGGGGGUUGGUCACCACCACAUUUUACCACGGUUGACCUCGGAUCAGGUAGGAGUUACCCGCUGAACUUAAGCAUAUCAAUAAGCGGAGGA